AUUGAACGCUGGCGACAGGCCUAACACAUGCAAGUCGAGCGGAUGAAGGGAGCUUGCUCCUGGAUUCAGCGGCGGACGGGUGAGUAAUGCCUAGGAAUCUGCCUGGUAGUGGGGGAUAACGUCCGGAAACGGGCGCUAAUACCGCAUACGUCCUGAGGGAGAAAGUGGGGGAUCUUCGGACCUCACGCUAUCAGAUGAGCCUAGGUCGGAUUAGCUAGUUGGUGGGGUAAAGGCCUACCAAGGCGACGAUCCGUAACUGGUCUGAGAGGAUGAUCAGUCACACUGGAACUGAGACACGGUCCAGACUCCUACGGGAGGCAGCAGUGGGGAAUAUUGGACAAUGGGCGAAAGCCUGAUCCAGCCAUGCCGCGUGUGUGAAGAAGGUCUUCGGAUUGUAAAGCACUUUAAGUUGGGAGGAAGGGCAGUAAGUUAAUACCUUGCUGUUUUGACGUUACUAACAGAAUAAGCACCGGCUAACUUCGUG
Molecule: ribosomal RNA, 484 nt
Filed under: uncultured bacterium
Lineage: Bacteria
Description: partial 16S ribosomal RNA
Rfam family: Bacterial small subunit ribosomal RNA
Source: RNAcentral